UAGCAAGGUUAACCGAAUAGGGGAGCCGGAGGGAAACCGAGUCUUAAUUGGGCGUUAAGUUGCAGGGUAUAGACCCGAAACCCGGUGAUCUAGCCAUGGGCAGGUUGAAGGUUGGGUAACACUAACUGGAGGACCGAACCGACUAAUGUUGAAAAAUUAGCGGAUGACCUGUGGCUGGGGGUGAAAGGCCAAUCAAACCGGGAGAUAGCUGGUUCUCCCCGAAAGCUAUUUAGGUAGCGCCUCGUGAAUUCAUCUCCGGGGGUAGAGCACUGUUUCGGCUAGGGGGCCAUCCCGGCUUACCAACCCGAUGCAAACUGCGAAUACCGGAGAAUGUUAUCACGGGAGACACACGGCGGGUGCUAACGUCCGUCGUGAAGAGGGAAACAACCCAGACCGCCAGCUAAGGUCCCAAAGUCAUGGUUAAGUGGGAAACGAUGUGGGAAGGCCCAGACAGCCAGGAUGUUGGCUUAGAAGCAGCCAUCAUUUAAAGAAAGCGUAAUAGCUCACUGGUCGAGUCGGCCUGCGCGGAAGAUGUAACGGGGCUAAACCAU
Molecule: ribosomal RNA, 551 nt
Filed under: Salmonella enterica subsp. enterica serovar Muenchen
Lineage: Bacteria; Pseudomonadati; Pseudomonadota; Gammaproteobacteria; Enterobacterales; Enterobacteriaceae
Also listed under: 1 other name
Description: partial 23S ribosomal RNA
Rfam family: Bacterial large subunit ribosomal RNA
Source: RNAcentral